GCCUACUGAGUAAAAUAUCCGACGAAUUUUUUGAAUUGUCACCCUCCAUGUUGAUGAUGUAAAAAUCUGCUGAAAAAAUUAGUUCAGUUACCUUGACUAGGACAUCCUCCAACACCCCUUCCGGAUACACAAUUGGCCUAUCCACUAACUGAAUGAUCACCCCUAUUUCUUUCAAAAGACCCGUUGUUUAGCAAUUUAAAAAUAAAUAAAGGCAUAAAGUUAAUAGAUGCACCUAAAUCACACAUGGCUUUCUUUAUGCCAACAUUACCUAUUUUGCAAGAUAUAGAAAACAUACAUUGUCCUUACACUUGCACCUAAAUCAUACGUUUUCUCUUACAUUUACCCAUUCGCUACCUUAAAGUUUCUUCUUGUCAGUGCAUAAUUCUU
This 387-nucleotide long non-coding RNA is filed under the name Gossypium barbadense (sea-island cotton). Its description in RNAcentral is "long non-coding RNA (GBAR_LNC005440)". Lineage: Eukaryota; Viridiplantae; Streptophyta; Magnoliopsida; Malvales; Malvaceae. The record is from RNAcentral.